AUACUUACCUGGCAGAGGAGAUACCAUGAUCACAAAGGUGAUUUUCCCAGGAUGAGAUGCAUCCAUAACACUCUGGAUGUGCGCACGCCUGUGACGUCCCCAAAUGUGGGACACUCCACUGCAUACUUUGUGGUAGUUAGGGACUGUUUGCGCUUUCCCCUGA
RNAcentral lists this small nuclear RNA (163 nucleotides) under Carlito syrichta (Philippine tarsier). Its description in RNAcentral is "U1 spliceosomal RNA (ENSTSYG00000036687.1)". It matches the Rfam family "U1 spliceosomal RNA". From Rfam's summary of the family: U1 is a small nuclear RNA (snRNA) component of the spliceosome (involved in pre-mRNA splicing). Its 5' end forms complementary base pairs with the 5' splice junction, thus defining the 5' donor site of an intron. There are significant differences in sequence and secondary structure between metazoan and yeast U1 snRNAs, the latter being much longer (568 nucleotides as compared to 164 nucleotides in human). The record is from RNAcentral. Lineage: Eukaryota; Metazoa; Chordata; Mammalia; Primates; Tarsiidae.